RNAcentral lists this small nucleolar RNA (99 nucleotides) under Capsella rubella. Its description in RNAcentral is "Small nucleolar RNA Z103". It matches the Rfam family "Small nucleolar RNA Z103". From Rfam's summary of the family: This family consists of several snoRNA Z103 sequences which are members of the C/D class of snoRNA which contain the C (UGAUGA) and D (CUGA) box motifs. This family seems to be found exclusively in plants. Lineage: Eukaryota; Viridiplantae; Streptophyta; Magnoliopsida; Brassicales; Brassicaceae. The record is from Rfam by way of RNAcentral.
AUGGAAGUGAUGACAAUUUCCCCAAAUGAUCGAAUCUGAUUAUACGAAGCGAAUUUAAUUUCCCUUCAACAAGGAAAUCAAGCCAAUGUUCUGAUCCUU